AGAAAGUUGAACAUUGGACAACAACAACAGAAACAUUGGCGUAAGAGUGUUAGGAAAUGUAAGAUAGGUCGAGUUUAAAUAUUAACAAUUUACCAAGAAACGCGUGUGUUAUACCGGGAGAACUUUUAUAUGCAAAAUCAAUAUUAUGAUUAUCAAGAACUGACCACUUUUGAUUGCACUUUUCAUGAUUGAAAAUUGAAAGCUCCCAGGUCUUUAGUAAUACGUACCAUAGGAUAAUCUGGCAAAAUGGGACAUUGGAUUGGACAUUGGGCGUCUGAAAUUUUUAAAGGUGAGGAUUACUUUCUUUCAUAAAUUUUAACGAAAUUCUUAAAGAAGUACAUGAAAAAUACUCAGAUCUGAUAACGCAACUAUCUUAUCG
Molecule: long non-coding RNA, 379 nt
Organism: Anthonomus grandis grandis
Lineage: Eukaryota; Metazoa; Arthropoda; Insecta; Coleoptera; Curculionidae
Exons: 4
Source: RefSeq, a predicted model, not a curated record